GAUGAACGCUGGCGGCGUGCCUAAUACAUGCAAGUCGAGCGAACAGACGAGGAUCUUGCUCCUCUUACGUUAGCGGCGGACGGGUGAGUAACACGUGGAUAACCUACCUAUAAGACUGGGAUAACUUCGGGAAACCGGAGCUAAUACCGGAUAAUAUAUUGAACCGCAUGGUUCAAUAGUGAAAGACGGUUUUGCUGUCACUUAUAGAUGGAUCCGCGCCGCAUUAGCUAGUUGGUAAGGUAACGGCUUACCAAGGCAACGAUGCGUAGCCGACCUGAGAGGGUGAUCGGCCACACUGGAACUGAGACACGGUCCAGACUCCUACGGGAGGCAGCAGUAGGGAAUAUUCCGCAAUGGGCGAAAGCCUGACGGAGCAACGCCGCGUGAGUGAUGAAGGUCUUCGGAUCGUAAAACUCUGUUAUUAGGGAAGAACAAAUGUGUAAGUAACUAUGCACGUCUUGACGGUACCUAAUCAGAAAGCCACGGCUAACUACGUG
RNAcentral lists this ribosomal RNA (497 nucleotides) under uncultured bacterium. RNAcentral describes it as "partial 16S ribosomal RNA". It matches the Rfam family "Bacterial small subunit ribosomal RNA", at positions 28 to 507 of the family's 1533-position model. The record is from RNAcentral.